This 636-nucleotide ribosomal RNA is filed under the name uncultured bacterium. Its description in RNAcentral is "bacterial SSU rRNA". It matches the Rfam family "Bacterial small subunit ribosomal RNA", at positions 843 to 1506 of the family's 1533-position model. The record is from RNAcentral.
GUAGCGAAGCUAACGCGUUAAGUAUCCCGCUGUGGAGUACGGUCGCAAGACUAAAACAUAAAGGAAUUGACGGGGACCCGCACAAGCGGUGGAGCGUGUUGUUUAAUUCGAUGGUAAGCGAAGAACCUUACCCAGGCUUGACAUCCUUGGAAUUUCUACGAAAGUGGAAAGUGCUUUUAGAGCCAAGUGACAGGUGAUGCAUGGCCGUCGUCAGCUCGUGUCGUGAGAUGUUUGGUUAAGUCCAUCAACGAGCGCAACCCUUGUGAUUAGUUGAAUUUUUCUAAUCAGACUGCCCUGGCAACAGGGAGGAAGGAGGGGAUGAUGUCAGGUCAGUAUUUCCCUUACGUCUGGGGCUACAAACACGCUACAAUGGCCAGUACAAAGGGCAGCCAAGUCGCAAGACGGAGCAAAUCCCAUCAAAGCUGGUCCCAGUUCGGAUAGCAGGCUGAAACUCGCCUGCUUGAAGUCGGAAUCGCUAGUAACGGUAGGUCAGCUAUACUACCGUGAAUACGUUCCCGGGUCUUGUACACACCGCCCGUCAAACCAUGAAAGUCGCCAAUACCUGACGUGUGGCCUUCGCGCCGCCCUAAGGUAGGGGAGAUGAUUGGGGUUAAGUCGUAACAAGGUAACCAAGGG